This 819-nucleotide ribosomal RNA is filed under the name uncultured Actinomycetes bacterium. RNAcentral's name for it is "bacterial SSU rRNA". It matches the Rfam family "Bacterial small subunit ribosomal RNA", at positions 9 to 792 of the family's 1533-position model. Lineage: Bacteria; Bacillati; Actinomycetota; Actinomycetes. The record is from RNAcentral.
GAGUUUGAUCAUGGCUCAGGACGAACGCUGGCGGCGUGCUUAAUACAUGCAAGUCGAACGAGGACUAGAGUGCUUGCACUCUAUAGCCGAGUGGCGAACGGGUGAGUAACACGUGACCAACCUGUCUACAGGCGGGGGAUUUAUAUAUAUAGAAUCCUGGGCUAAUACCGCAUAAUGUCUUUUCUUCGCAUGAAGAUUAGACCAAAGAGGGCCUCUACUUGUAAGCUCUCACCUGUUGAGGGGGUCGCGGCGUAUCAGCUUGUUGGUGAGGUAACGGCUCACCAAGGCGACGACGCGUAGCGGGUCUGAGAGGACGAUCCGUCACAUUGGGACUGAGAUACGGCCCAGACUCCUACGGGAGGCAGCAGUAGGGAAUAUUGCGCAAUGGACGAAAGUCUGACGCAGCGACGCCGCGUGUGGGAGGAAGCCUUUCGGGGUGUAAACCACUGUCAGGAGGGAAGAAUCCCGGGUAUUCGAAUAGGAUGCCCGAAUGACGGUACCUCCAAAGGAAGCGCCGGCUAACUCCGUGCCAGCAGCCGCGGUAAGACGGAGGGCGCAAGCGUUGUUCGGAAUUACUGGGCGUAAAGCGCACGCAGGCGGUCUCUUAAGUCCUUUGUGAAAGCCCGGGGCUCAACCCCGGAACUGCAUAGGAUACUGGGAGACUUGAGACAGGUAGAGGCUAGCGGAAUUUCCUGGUGUAGCGGGUGGAAUGCGUAGAUAUCAGAGACACCUGUGGGCGAAGCGGCUAGCUGGGCCCUGUUUCUGACCGCCUCCAUGUGCGAAAGCGGUGGGGGGGAGCAAAAACAGGGAUUUAGAAUA